Molecule: non-coding RNA, 76 nt
Organism: Labrenzia sp. C1B10
Lineage: Bacteria; Pseudomonadati; Pseudomonadota; Alphaproteobacteria; Hyphomicrobiales; Stappiaceae
Source: Rfam
UCGUACCGCCCUCCUUGGGCGUUUCCUCCCUAGACUCGGGCCGCCUCUUUUGAGAGCGGCCUUUUUUUUGGGUCCG